This 73-nucleotide transfer RNA is filed under the name Ailuropoda melanoleuca (giant panda). It matches the Rfam family "tRNA". From Rfam's summary of the family: Transfer RNA (tRNA) molecules are approximately 80 nucleotides in length. Their secondary structure includes four short double-helical elements and three loops (D, anti-codon, and T loops). The record is from Rfam by way of RNAcentral. Lineage: Eukaryota; Metazoa; Chordata; Mammalia; Carnivora; Ursidae.
GCCUGGCUGGCUCAGUUGGUAGAGCAUGUGACUCUUGAUCUUGGGGUCAUGAGUUCAAGCCCCACAUUGGGCA